RNAcentral lists this ribosomal RNA (1449 nucleotides) under Synechococcus sp. 1tu39s01. RNAcentral's name for it is "bacterial SSU rRNA". It matches the Rfam family "Bacterial small subunit ribosomal RNA". The record is from RNAcentral. Lineage: Bacteria; Bacillati; Cyanobacteriota; Cyanophyceae; Synechococcales; Synechococcaceae.
GAUGAACGCUGGCGGCGUGCUUAACACAUGCAAGUCGAACGAGCCUUCGGGCUAGUGGCGGACGGGUGAGUAACGCGUGGGAAUCUGCCCUCAGGAGGGGGAUAACGGCCGGAAACGGCCGCUAAUACCCCAUAUGCCGAGAGGUGAAACGAAUUUCGCCUGAGGAUGAGCCCGCGUCUGAUUAGCUAGUUGGUGAGGUAAUGGCUCACCAAGGCAUCGAUCAGUAGCUGGUCUGAGAGGAUGAUCAGCCACACUGGGACUGAGACACGGCCCAGACUCCUACGGGAGGCAGCAGUGGGGAAUUUUCCGCAAUGGGCGCAAGCCUGACGGAGCAACGCCGCGUGAGGGACGAAGGCCUCUGGGCUGUAAACCUCUUUUCUCAAGGAAGAAGACAUGACGGUACUUGAGGAAUAAGCCACGGCUAAUUCCGUGCCAGCAGCCGCGGUAAUACGGGAGUGGCAAGCGUUAUCCGGAAUUAUUGGGCGUAAAGCGUCCGCAGGCGGCCUUGAAAGUCUGUUGUUAAAGCGUGGAGCUCAACUCCAUUUCAGCAAUGGAAACUACAAGGCUAGAGUGUGGUAGGGGCAGAGGGAAUUCCCGGUGUAGCGGUGAAAUGCGUAGAUAUCGGGAAGAACACCAGUGGCGAAGGCGCUCUGCUGGGCCAUAACUGACGCUCAUGGACGAAAGCCAGGGGAGCGAAAGGGAUUAGAUACCCCUGUAGUCCUGGCCGUAAACGAUGAACACUAGGUGUCGGGAGAAUUAACCCUUUCGGUGUCGUAGCCAACGCGUUAAGUGUUCCGCCUGGGGAGUACGCACGCAAGUGUGAAACUCAAAGGAAUUGACGGGGGCCCGCACAAGCGGUGGAGUAUGUGGUUUAAUUCGAUGCAACGCGAAGAACCUUACCAGGGUUUGACAUCCUGCGAAUCCCUUGGAAACUUGGGAGUGCCUUCGGGAACGCAGUGACAGGUGGUGCAUGGCUGUCGUCAGCUCGUGUCGUGAGAUGUUGGGUUAAGUCCCGCAACGAGCGCAACCCACGUCUUUAGUUGCCAGCAUUCAGUUGGGCACUCUAGAGAGACCGCCGGUGAUAAACCGGAGGAAGGUGUGGAUGACGUCAAGUCAUCAUGCCCCUUACAUCCUGGGCUACACACGUACUACAAUGCUACGGACAAAGGGCAGCAAACUCGCGAGAGCUAGCAAAUCCCAUAAACCGUGGCUCAGUUCAGAUCGUAGGCUGCAACUCGCCUACGUGAAGGAGGAAUCGCUAGUAAUCGCAGGUCAGCAUACUGCGGUGAAUACGUUCCCGGGCCUUGUACACACCGCCCGUCACACCAUGGAAGUUGGCCAUGCCCGAAGUCGUUACUCCAACCCGUAAGGGAGGAGGACGCCGAAGGUGGGGCUGAUGACUGGGGUGAAGUCGUAACAAGGUAGCCGUACCGGAAGGUGCGGCUGGAU